AUUAUGGAAGGUAUCCAUUACUUCCUCAUCUUUGGUGCUUACGAUUAUAUAUGGUUUGAAUAGAUAUACAUCUAAAGUUCCCUGUAUCUUUGAAUUCUCUCUCCACACUCUGAUGAUAAGUUUUAAGCGACUUGUUAGAUUCAGAUUUGCUUGGGUUGCAGUCAAAACUCCACUAUAAGCAAAUUAUGGCAAGACGAAGGUCACCAAUCGACCCCUUGCUGGGACGAUUAGGAGAGGGAAGACGCCCAAGGAAGAUUAUAUGUUGGAAAAGCAGUUUUUUAAGGAUGAAAAACAAUGUUAUACACUGAAUGUCCUUUCAUAGUUCCCAGGCGGAGGUUUGAUAUAUGGGGUUGCAUUGGCUACCAAGUUUAUCAACCCUACUAUUCGAGUUUUGGUUGCUGAACCAAUGGAAGCACCUACUUGCUUGGAUUUUGUAUCGUGGAAAAUGAGGUGGUAUUUUUGACAAGUGCAGAUUGAAACUCAAUUGCUAGGAAAUUGAUUAUUUUUUUUUUGUAAAUGGAUUUACUUCCUAUUUUGGCACAUUGAUCAAUCAUGAAUUCUUGAAUUGUAAAAAUAUUUUAAGUCUUUUGAUAUGUUUAAUGUGGUAU
This is a long non-coding RNA of Cornus florida, 608 nucleotides long. RefSeq lists it as uncharacterized. The transcript is spliced from 3 exons. The record is from RefSeq and is a predicted model, not a curated record. NCBI's taxonomy places the organism in Eukaryota, Viridiplantae, Streptophyta, Magnoliopsida, Cornales, Cornaceae.